CUGAUCGUGUGAUAUUGUACUCUUUAUAAUUGUUGGGUUACUGACAAUCAUGACCGGUGGCGUCGACUACUAGUUCUAAAUAUCAAUAUAGAGAUGCAAAUGUUGUCUAGAUAUAUAGAAAGCAGCUCAGCUCUUCUCUAAGUUAAUCCUUGACCCUUGACUGCUAAAGCAGUUAAAAUAAGUCUAUUUUCACUUCAUUUCUUUCUUCUUCUGUUAUGAAUGUAUGAUAAUUUGAUUGGUAGCUUUGGAAGUGGGCCAUAUCACAUGAGCAGGCUAACGAGAAAGUGGUGAACUAUGUAUGAGUUAGUUAGUUACG
RNAcentral lists this small RNA (316 nucleotides) under Histoplasma ohiense. Its description in RNAcentral is "hypothetical lncRNA". Lineage: Eukaryota; Fungi; Ascomycota; Eurotiomycetes; Onygenales; Ajellomycetaceae. The record is from RNAcentral.